UAGGUAACCUGCCCCGGAGCGGGGGAUAACAUUUGGAAACAGAUGCUAAUACCGCAUAACAACAAAAGCCACAUGGCCUUUGUUUGAAAGAUGGCUUUGGCUAUCACUCUGGGAUGGACCUGCGGUGCAUUAGCUAGUUGGUAAGGUAACGGCUUACCAAGGCGAUGAUGCAUAGCCGAGUUGAGAGACUGAUCGGCCACAAUGGAACUGAGACACGGUCCAUACUCCUACGGGAGGCAGCAG
This 243-nucleotide ribosomal RNA is filed under the name uncultured bacterium. RNAcentral's name for it is "partial 16S ribosomal RNA". It matches the Rfam family "Bacterial small subunit ribosomal RNA", at positions 118 to 354 of the family's 1533-position model. The record is from RNAcentral.